Long non-coding RNA from Hemiscyllium ocellatum (epaulette shark), 208 nucleotides. RefSeq lists it as uncharacterized. The record is from RefSeq and is a predicted model, not a curated record. The transcript is spliced from 3 exons. Lineage: Eukaryota; Metazoa; Chordata; Chondrichthyes; Orectolobiformes; Hemiscylliidae.
ACCACGUGAUCAUCCUCGUGGACAGCGCGAUAGUGUAGGCGGAGAGCUGUCGGAUGAGGCUGUCACUGGCUCGGCCAGCAUUUAUUGCUGCGUUUACCCAGAGGGCAGUUAAGAGUCAACUGCGUUGCUAUAGGUCUGGAGUCCCAUGCAGACCAGACCAGAUCCCAGUGAUCAGUGCCAAAGCCCCAUUGCCUGGGGAGAGGGUGAU